UCUUCCUCUGCACAGGUUUUGAUAAAUCUCCCCCAAUGAGUAGAGCGUAAGCUAGAGGUGAACCAGCUCAAAAACGGAGGCCAGCGCCAUAGACGUUCCAGUCCAAACAAGGGCCCAGAAGUCGAGCAACAACAAGUCUGUCCAAAGCAAGCUGAGCUCCAAAAAAUGAACAAACCCAUAACGUGUAAUCACCGGACACGGGACAGGGGCUGACCUACAGAGGAGAACCAUAGAGGAAAAUUUCUACCCACAUAUCUGUUGUUUAAGAACAUUACCCUUCCGAGGUUGCCGACUCGUGGGCUUUCCUCC
Molecule: long non-coding RNA, 309 nt
Organism: Hyla sarda
Lineage: Eukaryota; Metazoa; Chordata; Amphibia; Anura; Hylidae
Exons: 3
Source: RefSeq, a predicted model, not a curated record